RNAcentral lists this ribosomal RNA (460 nucleotides) under uncultured bacterium. Its description in RNAcentral is "partial 16S ribosomal RNA". It matches the Rfam family "Bacterial small subunit ribosomal RNA", at positions 338 to 795 of the family's 1533-position model. The record is from RNAcentral.
CCUACGGGUGGCAGCAGUGAGGAAUAUUGGUCAAUGGACGAGAGUCUGAACCAGCCAAGUAGCGUGAAGGAUGACUGCCCUAUGGGUUGUAAACUUCUUUUAUCUGGGAAUAAAACAGGGUAUGCAUACCCUCUUGUAUGUACCAUAUGAAUAAGGAUCGGCUAACUCCGUGCCAGCAGCCGCGGUAAUACGGAGGAUCCGAGCGUUAUCCGGAUUUAUUGGGUUUAAAGGGAGCGUAGGUGGAUUGUUAAGUCAGUUGUGAAAGUUUGCGGCUCAACCGUAAAAUUGCAGUUGAAACUGGCAGUCUUGAGUACAGUAGAGGUGGGCGGAAUGCGUGGUGUAGCGGUGAAAUGCAUAGAUAUCACGCAGAACUCCGAUUGCGAAGGCAGCUUACUAAGCCAUAACUGACACUGAAGCACGAAAGCGUGGGGAUCAAACAGGAUUAGAUACCCGGGUAGUC